GCCCCUGUAGCUCAGCUGGAUAGAGCACCAGCCUCCGGAGCUGGGAGCGAGAGUUCAAGUCUCUCCAGGGGCG
RNAcentral lists this transfer RNA (73 nucleotides) under Dehalococcoidales bacterium. RNAcentral's name for it is "tRNA-Arg". It matches the Rfam family "tRNA". Rfam says of the family: Transfer RNA (tRNA) molecules are approximately 80 nucleotides in length. Their secondary structure includes four short double-helical elements and three loops (D, anti-codon, and T loops). Further hydrogen bonds mediate the characteristic L-shaped molecular structure. tRNAs have two regions of fundamental functional importance: the anti-codon, which is responsible for specific mRNA codon recognition, and the 3' end, to which the tRNAs corresponding amino acid is attached (by aminoacyl-tRNA synthetases). tRNAs cope with the degeneracy of the genetic code in two manners: having more than one tRNA (with a specific anti-codon) for a particular amino acid; and 'wobble' base-pairing, i.e. permitting non-standard base-pairing at the 3rd anti-codon position. The record is from RNAcentral. Lineage: Bacteria; Bacillati; Chloroflexota; Dehalococcoidia; Dehalococcoidales.